UAUUUAGUUAAUUCUAUUAGUAGUUAUAUAUUUAUUUUAAAAAUUAAGCUAUAUAUAUUUAAAUUUAAGUAAUUAAACCGCGAAAUUGCGAAUAGUUUAUUAAAUUAAUUAUAGUUUAUUUAAUAGUACUUUACUAUAUAGAUAACCGUAGUAAUUCUAGAGCUAAUAUAUAUUAAAAACCCUAAUUUCGGAAGGGGUAUAUUUAUUAAAUUAAAAACUAAUGCCCUUCGGGGCUAACUAGUAAUUUAUAAUAACUUCUCGAAUUAUAUAGCCUUACGCUAGCGAUAAUUCAUUUAAAUUUCUACCCUAUUAACUUUCGACGGCUAGGUUUUAGUUAACUAUAGUAAUAACGGGUAAUAGAGGAUUAGGGCUCGACCCUGGAGAAGGAGUUUGAGAAACGGCUACUAUAUUUAAGGAAGGUAGUAAAUAUAUAAAUUAUUUAAUCCCGAUACGGGGAGGUAGUAAUAAUAAAUACUAAUAUAAGGCUCUUUUAGGUCUUAUAAUUAGAAUAAAUAUAAUUUAAAUCCCUUAACGAAGAAUAAUUAGAGGGCAAGUCUAGUACCAGCAGCCGCAGUAAUUCUAGCUUUAAUAAUGUAUAUUAAAAUUAUUAAAAUUAAAAAGCUCGUAAUUAAACCUUAAACUCGGUCUGUCGGUCCGCCUUAUUACGUAUAUUAACUAGGUUGGGCCUUUUUUCCUAAAGAACUGCAUACUCUUUACUAGGUAUAUUAAGGAAUUAGGACUUUUACUAUAAAUAAAUUAGAUCGCUUAAAGAAGGCCUAUACUCGAAUAUACUAAUAUAGAAUAAUAGAAUAGGAUGUGUAAUUCUAUUUUAUUAGUUUCUAAGACCGCUAUAAUAAUUAAUAGGGAUAGUUGGGGGUAUUAAUAUUCAAUUAUUAGAAGUAAAAUUCUUAGAUUUAUUAAAGACUAAUUAUUAUAAAAGUAUUUACUAAGGAUGUUUUUAUUAAUUAGGAACGAAAGUUAGGGGAUCGAAGACAAUUAAAUACCGUUGUAGUCUUAAUUAUAAAUUAUACUAAUUAGAAAUUGGAUAAUAUUAUUUUUUAAUCCGUUCGGCACUUUACAAUAAAUUAAAAUAUUUAGACUCUUAGGGGAAUAUAGUUGUAAGGUUGAAACUUAAAAAAAUUAAUAAAAGGGUACUACUAGGGGUAGAGCCUGCGGUUUAAUUUGAUUUAAUAUAAGGAAACUUACUAAGUUUAAAUAUAAUAAAAAUUAAUAAAUUGAAAACUCUUUUUUAAUUUCGUAGGUAGUAGUAUAUAACCGUUCUUAGUUAAUAGAGUAAUUUAUUUACUUAAUUAUAAUAACGAACAAGACUUUAAUUUAUUAAAUAGCCUGUAUUACUUUAGUAAUAUACUAACUUCUUAAAAAGACUAUCGGCUUAAAUUAAUAGAAAUUUAAGGUAAUAAUAGGUCUAUAAUGCCCUUAGAUAUUCUAGGCCGUAUAUACGCUAUACUAAUAUAGCUAACGAAUAUUCCUUUAGCCGGAAGGUUCGGGUAAUCUUAUUAAAUUAUAUUAUAUUAGGAAUAAAGUAUUAUAAUUAUUACUCUUCAACGAAGAAUCCCUAAUAAAUAUAAAUUAUCAGCUUAUAUUAAUUACGUCCCUACUCUUUAUAUAUACCGCCCGUUGCUACUACUAAUUAAAUAAUUUAAUAAAGCUUCUAGAUUGGUUUAAGGAGGUCGGUAACAACUACCUAAGGCCGGAAAACUAUUUAAAUUUAGUUAUUUAAAAGAAGUAAAAGUUAUAAUAAAGUCUCUAUUAGUAAACUAGCGGAAGGAUUAUUA
Ribosomal RNA from Neurospora crassa OR74A, 1796 nucleotides. It matches the Rfam family "Eukaryotic small subunit ribosomal RNA". The record is from Rfam. Lineage: Eukaryota; Fungi; Ascomycota; Sordariomycetes; Sordariales; Sordariaceae.